UAGAUAAUAAAUGUCAAUCAUUAUCAGUUUGGCAAAAUGUUGCCAUUACGUUCAUCACUGUUCAUCACCGUUGAAAAUGAACCCACCAAUCACCACACUGUUCCACAUCCGUUCAUUGAUAAUUAAUGAACAACAAAGAAAGUGAAAAGAACUCAAAUCUCUGUAAAAAGGUGAAACUAUACCCUUCCAUUAUUGCAUAGAAAAUCAAGAAACCAAGUGCUUAACAGUACUCUCUAUAUAUACUCUCUAACAGUAAGGAUACUACCAUGACCCCAGUAAGAUAUUUGCCGGCCUUCAAAACCUGAGAUUAUACGUAUUUCCUACAACAUUAUUUCAAGAAACAAAGAAAAGCUCUAAUCUUGAUUUCUCUGACUGGGAGAACUCAGUGGAAAAAGAGUCAAGAGCUCCGGUGGCUCGCUUCCACUUGGUGUAGUCAGCGGUGAUGGAUGCAGAUAAAACCCUUUCUCUGCUAUCGCCUUCUCCUCCUCUGAAACUGUUGGAGACGACGAUGACUCAGUACCUGGGCUUCGGAAAAAGAGUGACUCUGAGGACAGUGGAGUCACCGGACUGGGUAUCAGUGAGUCGAGUCGGUGAUGAGUUUGGUGGGGGGAGAAGUGAGUUGGUGAGUUUCUGCGAGAGGUGAAGCCAAGUUUGAUUUCAAGCUUUCUCAUGGCGUGUCUGCGUUCUUGGAGCUUGAAAGGUGAGCAGCGAGGGCCCGUGGGAUCAACAGGAUGGGAAAGCUUUGAGGAGAGUCUAGCAGGGAGAGUAAAGGGGAGCUUUUCUGAAUCGCUGCUGGUUAAACCCGUGAGCUUCUGGACUAGGUCUCUGAAGGUGUUUGCGUCUGCUUGGACAAAGGUUGUGGGUGAAGUUGGAGAAGACGAUAUAGCGUUCAUGUGUCUUUCCAUUAAUUUCAGAGGAAAAUAGAGGGAAGAAUUUAGAAGAAAGAAAGAAAUAUUAAGGAAGUGCCUAAGAGAAAUAUGUAAUAGUUGGGUUUGUGAAGGUGUUGGAGUUGGUUUUCAUGGGGAGAGCUGAUGGAGUUGGAAAAAGUUUCAGACUUUAUAGGCAAUUUUGGAGAAGAAGGAAGGCAGAGGGUUGG
This 1096-nucleotide unclassified non-coding RNA is filed under the name Hevea brasiliensis (rubber tree). Lineage: Eukaryota; Viridiplantae; Streptophyta; Magnoliopsida; Malpighiales; Euphorbiaceae. The record is from RNAcentral.